GGGGAAUUUUGGACAAUGGGGGCAACCCUGAUCCAGCCAUGCCGCGUGAGUGAAGAAGGCCUUCGGGUUGUAAAGCUCUUUCGCAAGGGAAGAAAACGUGUGGGCUAAUAUCCUGCGCGGAUGACGGUACCUUGACAAGAAGCACCGGCUAACUACGUGCCAGCAGCCGCGGUAAUACGUAGGGUGCGAGCGUUAAUCGGAAUUACUGGGCGUAAAGCGUGCGCAGGCGGUUUUGUAAGACAGGCGUGAAAUCCCCGGGCUCAACCUGGGAACUGCGCUUGUGACUGCAAGACUAGAGUACGGCAGAGGGGGGUGGAAUUCCACGUGUAGCAGUGAAAUGCGUAGAGAUGUGGAGGAACACCAAUGGCGAAGGCAGCCCCCUGGGCCUGUACUGACGCUCAUGCACGAAAGCGUGGGGAGCAAACA
This 426-nucleotide ribosomal RNA is filed under the name uncultured Rhodocyclaceae bacterium. Its description in RNAcentral is "bacterial SSU rRNA". It matches the Rfam family "Bacterial small subunit ribosomal RNA", at positions 356 to 774 of the family's 1533-position model. Lineage: Bacteria; Pseudomonadati; Pseudomonadota; Betaproteobacteria; Rhodocyclales; Rhodocyclaceae. The record is from RNAcentral.